Calidris pugnax (ruff) is the source of this 861-nucleotide long non-coding RNA. RefSeq lists it as uncharacterized. NCBI's taxonomy places the organism in Eukaryota, Metazoa, Chordata, Aves, Charadriiformes, Scolopacidae. The transcript is spliced from 4 exons. The record is from RefSeq and is a predicted model, not a curated record.
AGGAGCAGCCACCAACGGAGGGGUCCGGGCUUCAAAAAUACGACCUUCCCCAGUAGCCAACUGGGGCUGGGAGGUUGUAACCUGCAUGCAGCACUGGGCCAAACAUCCCUGCAGCACCCGGGUUUGGCUGGUGGUGGCCCAUGGUGGCGUGGGGAGGAGAGGAUGGUGUGGGUGAUGCCGCGGUGGCUGCCGUCCCCAGCCCCUGGCGUCGUGCCCUUCCCGUGGAGAGGAUGCCGCACUGCCAAAGGUCUCCCCGGGGGUGCUCCCGAGCCUCUCCUGCCCCAGGGGAUGCCCCAGUUCACCUUCGCUUGCUUCUGCGGGCUCCAUGGCUUCUGCAAGAUGAAGAGGAAGAAAGAAGAGUCCAGCGCGGAGCAGGAGACGGCAGUGUGAGGAGAGGACUCGUGUGUGUGCCCUGCUGAGCCGUGCCUCGGGACCCCCUGUCCCCUUCCCCUCGAUACUUGCAUGGCUGGGGGAGAGCCCGAGCACGGGAAUGACCUUGCUGAGAUGUAGAAGCAGGUGCUGUGGAUGUUAUCAAGGUGCUGCACCAAUUCUACCCCCUGACACUCAGCCCAGCCAGGCAUGGAGCCCUGGGGAGCCGAGCAGCUGCUGUCGGAGGGACCCUGGGUCCCAGCCGGGUAGAGAUUUCCCUCCUGAGCGAGUCGACCUGCCCUUGCUCCAACAAGUCUCAACAGACAGACCUGGAGAGGUUUCCAAAAGCCGGGGCCAGACCCUGUCCCUCCUGGAGUCGUGGUGCCGGAGAGGCUGGUCCCUGGCUGCUAUCACCUGAAAAUCACCGCCUUUUCUCCCUCGCGAGGGCAGGAUUUUUUCCCAGCUGCUCGACGUUCCCGUGCUGACCCCAGA